UUCUGUUUCCCUAUUGUUUGUGAAACUGGAGGACAGACACAGAGCAGGUUUAGUUUUUAGCUCCCAUUGUUCUGUAGUUGUCUGGUUGCUCAUUCAUGAAGUUAUUUGGGGCCUGUUGAGAGGAUGAUAUGAAUGCAGUGAUAAGCUCUGACCAGCAUGCCCACCUUCAAGCUCGGGAAGCUCUACUAAGCGAAGCAACGCUACUAUACAGCAAUUCAGCCGCAACAAGGGAGACACCAGAAACAUACUCAGCAACUUCAUUUGGUGAGUAAAGCAAUUCUGAUGCAUUGUAGCUUUGAAGUGGAUAUUUUGUGAAAAUAUUUAUUAUGGAUGUAAGACUUGCUUUUCAGUUUGUGGUUUUUGGUUUUUUCCCCCCCCCCCACAACAUGUAACACUAAGAUCUUGUUUGCUAAAGGGGUAGUUUUUCUCCCUUGUCUUGUCCCCUGAGAUAAAUAAGCUAGGUUCAGUGGCAAGGGAUUAAGUCCCAAGCACAGAAAUAGCUGGCACAUGCUUCCUCCCCCCCCCCCCAUAAGCAAGGAUUUAUUGUUUUGUUGUUUCAAGUUGAAGACAGACAGGUCUCCACUUCACCAUGAAAACUUGAGCUAGCCAAGGCUAGCUGUUCCAUUUUAGUACGGAUACUCUUAGGCGUACUAGUUCCUACCUGUAAUGCAGAGACUUCUACCUUUGGUAGAGACAGUCUUUCCAAAAAACCAUAACAUGAUGAUCAUUCUUCUAUGAAAUGGAUGUACUGUCAUCCGCUUCCCAUUGCGCAGAAGCAAGCUUUGUUUCCAGUAUUUCGAGGGCAUGCUGAAAUGAGAAGAACAGAGUUACACCUAGAAGUCUUCUUCUACAGUUUUGC
This 859-nucleotide long non-coding RNA is filed under the name Numida meleagris (helmeted guineafowl). RNAcentral's name for it is "lncRNA (ENSNMEG00000012948.1)". Lineage: Eukaryota; Metazoa; Chordata; Aves; Galliformes; Numididae. The record is from RNAcentral.